Molecule: ribosomal RNA, 429 nt
Filed under: uncultured bacterium
Lineage: Bacteria
Description: bacterial SSU rRNA
Rfam family: Bacterial small subunit ribosomal RNA
Source: RNAcentral
UGGGGAAUAUUGGACAAUGGGGGAAACCCUGAUCCAGCGACGCCGCGUGUGUGAAGAAGGCCUGCGGGUUGUAAAGCACUUUUAGUGGGGAUGAAAAGUUUGGGGCUAAUACCCCCGGACCUUGACCUAACCUACAGAAAAAGCACCGGCUAACUCUGUGCCAGCAGCCGCGGUAAUACAGAGGGUGCGAGCGUUAAUCGGAAUUACUGGGCGUAAAGCGUGCGCAGACGGUUAUGUAAGUCGGAUGUGAAAUCCCCGGGCUCAACCUGGGAAUUGCAUUCGAAACUGCAUGGCUAGGGUACGGAAGAGGGAAGCGGAAUUUCUGGUGUAGCGGUGAAAUGCGUAGAUAUCAGAAGGAACAUCAGUGGCGAAAGCGGCUUCCUGGUCCAGUACCGACGUUCAGGCACGAAAGCGUGGGGAGCAAACAGG